RNAcentral lists this long non-coding RNA (341 nucleotides) under Rhinopithecus bieti (black snub-nosed monkey). Its description in RNAcentral is "lncRNA (ENSRBIG00000045141.1)". The record is from RNAcentral. Lineage: Eukaryota; Metazoa; Chordata; Mammalia; Primates; Cercopithecidae.
AAAGGGGAGGGGGCUGCGAGGGAGCAAGAAGAGAGCUUGGAGACUGGAAUUUUCCAGGCUCUGAGCUCACGCUGUAUGCUUCCUCUGUGAUAAGUCGCCGAGUAGAAAUGCGGGUCUUUGUCCGCAAUAGCGUGGUCACUCUUCCUUCCUGGGUGAGCCUCUCUCAUAGAGGUGAUGCACGCACAGCAGUCAGCCCGGUGCCAAAUCUCCUAAGAGCCAGGAGCUGGACACCCUUGCCCCAGCCUCCAGUGCCGUCUGCCCAGACAGAAGGAUGGGAAGAGUGUGGACAUGAAGGUUGAGUCUCAGAAAAGGUAGAACCCAGGCCAGGCACGGUGCCUCAC